UACAGGGGGUGCAAACGUUGCUCGGAAUCAUUGGGCGUAAAGCGCACGUAGGCGGUCUGUUAUGUCGGAUGUGAAAGCCCUUGGCUUAACUGAGGAAGUGCAUCCGAAACUGGCAGGCUAGAGUACUAAAGAGGGUCGCGGAAUUCCCGGUGUAGAGGUGAAAUUCGUAGAUAUCGGGAGGAACACCGGUGGCGAAGUCGGCGACCUGGGUAGAUACUGACGCUGAGGUGCGAAAGCGUGGGGAGCAAACAGG
RNAcentral lists this ribosomal RNA (253 nucleotides) under uncultured bacterium. RNAcentral describes it as "partial 16S ribosomal RNA". It matches the Rfam family "Bacterial small subunit ribosomal RNA", at positions 524 to 776 of the family's 1533-position model. The record is from RNAcentral.